This 643-nucleotide long non-coding RNA is filed under the name Ananas comosus (pineapple). Its description in RNAcentral is "long non-coding RNA (ACOM_LNC005940)". Lineage: Eukaryota; Viridiplantae; Streptophyta; Magnoliopsida; Poales; Bromeliaceae. The record is from RNAcentral.
UGUCAGCUCAAAUUCGGCUUGAAAUUAAUUUCGAGCCUAAAUCUAGGCUCAAGCUCGGCUUGAAAUUAAUUCGAGCCGAGCUCGAGCAAGCCUAAUUUCGAGUCGAGCCGAGCUCGAGAUCUAAAUGAGCCGAUUGAAAUUCUCGACAUUAUAUAAUCAAUAGUUUAAUUUUUAUAGAACAUUGCUUACAAUUUGAUGCAACAUGUCCAAUAGUUCAAAAUACAAAAUAAUUAUAAGAAAUGUGACCUAGGAUGACUUCCUGACUAGAUGAGGGACUGAGAGAGAGAGAGAGAGAGAGAGAGAGAGAGAGAGAGAGAGAGGAAAAAAAGUAGGGAUUUGGGAAUUUGAAUGUUAUCAUGUUUUAGGGUUAUGUGCAACAGUAAAAGUCUGAAAGAGAGAGUGUGUUAUGUAAAUUUAGAGUUAGACUCAAUUGUACGGUUGUACUUGUUGGGUUCAUUUUAUGGGCCAACAAUAAUGCCCCAAAUUAAAUUAAAGCCUAUAUAUAAUUAAAAUACAUUAUAUAUAUAUAUUUUCGAGCUUUUCGAGCUUUUCGAGCCUAAUUCGAACGAGCCGAGUAAUACUCAAGCUCGGCUUGAAAUGAAUUUCAAGCCUUUUAUUUUGUUCAAGCUCGGCUCAUUUAAUU